This 88-nucleotide transfer RNA is filed under the name Campylobacterales bacterium. RNAcentral describes it as "tRNA-Ser". It matches the Rfam family "tRNA". Rfam says of the family: Transfer RNA (tRNA) molecules are approximately 80 nucleotides in length. Their secondary structure includes four short double-helical elements and three loops (D, anti-codon, and T loops). The record is from RNAcentral. Lineage: Bacteria; Pseudomonadati; Campylobacterota; Epsilonproteobacteria; Campylobacterales.
AGAGAGGUGUCCGAGUGGCCGAAGGUGCAAUCUUGGAAAGGUUGUGUAGUUUAUUCUACCGAGGGUUCGAAUCCCUUCCUCUCUGCCA